CAUCAGUCUCCCACACGGGCCACAUCCACAUGCAGCCCCGGAAUUUCUGGAUCGCCUGAAUAGGCUGUCCUUGGGGGGAGGCCACGGGGAGACAGAAGUGAAAAGUGAAGAGUGAAAGGGCGCAAAAAAAAAAGUUAAUGAUGGAAAAAAAACCUGAUUCCAACCCCCUUUCCCUGUUACACAUCAUUUUUCAUUUUUUUUUUCCCUUUAAACUUUCUUUCCAAGACUUGAGAGUGAGACUCGGACAUUGCCUGCCAGUAUUAUUAUUAAUUCAAGAUCUCACUUCUCAAACUCUCUGUCUCUGACAAUUGACGGACCUGCAAAACUUGAUAACUGGCACUGACUGACACAAACACGGACAUUGACACUGACAACCAACAGGGGCCAAAGAAUAAUGAUGCAUGCAUAAUCUGUACAGCGUGCGCAGCAGGCUGUACCAUUCUGCCCUGUCCUUGUUCGGACCAUGGACAGCUGCAAGGAACCAGGUCGAAGGAGGGACACUGAGGCAACGGAGGCAUUGAGACCGAGGCGGGGAGAAGAAGGGAGGGGUGACUAGUCGCCCCAGGGGCAGGGCCCGGCCUCCUUGGCAGUGAUCCAUGUUGGAAAUAUGGCGAUGUUUGUGCUAAUUCUGAUCACCAGACCAUGGCAAAAAGAAAAGAAAAGAGAAAAGAGAAAAGAGAAAAGAAAAUGGCCAGAAGAGAAAGAAAACAGCAGAAUGGGAGAGGAUAUUCGAAGAAGAAGAAGAAGGACCAAGAAAGGGGGUUUUCAAUUUGCAAGACGGUGAUGAGCCCAGUCGCCCUUGGGUUUCACGAAGAUCCACCUCUCUCUGCUCAGAACAUUGAACAUUGCUCUCUUACGUAGCGAAUACAGAAAUGCACCUCCCUGACAUGCCACAGGAGCGGGAGCCGGGGGGGCGUCAAUUGAUCAUCCAUACUUGCACCUACGAUGGCAUUAUUAGCAUCAUCACCAAACAAGGUAUCAGCACGUCAUGGAUGACGCUUGAUUCAAGGCAUGUGUACAGUACAUGACUUGGUUGACAUAGCUGCCAUAGUGUUGAAGAUGUGCGAGAUCAGGGUGCUGUUUCUGUCGGGCUGCUUGUCAUGGAUGUAUCUGUCUAUCUAUCUCUUUACCCUAGGCACAGUACAGUACACACUUGACAUUCUCACAUCAUUGACAUCUUGGCGACAUCGACUGCCAGGAAAUAAAAGGUUGAAUUUACAAUUAAGAAAAUAUGGCUACUAGUAUUCACGAUUGGGCUAAUAAAAUAAUUCUAAUACUGGUAACAAUCCUAUCGAGCAUGGAUAGAAGAAAAACAGUGUAAACCCAAUCACAGUUUCUUCUUCACAAUCAACAAAGUACCCGUCUGGGUUCCAUCCACAACCUCUUUCCCCUUCUCCACACCAGCCUCGUGUAACAGCCGCUCAAUAUCCCUUCGAAACACCCUCACUAUGUCCCGCUCGGUCCCCACCGCAUCCGGAUGCGCCGUCCGCCACCGCGUCACUGGGCUCGCAGUCCCCAUCAUCUUUUCCAGCGUAUCCAUAUCGACCGUCACAGGCUUCACCAAAGACUUGCCAUCGGCAUCGUAAUCGGCAUCGCUGCCAUCCCACACCUUGUGGAGGAGGCUGGCCUCGUCGAACUCCGCAACGGGCCCCGCAGGCGUCGUCGACAGGCUCCAGGGUAACUCCAGGUCGGCGUAGUGUUUGUUGACGCUCAGGUUCCCCGGCGCCAUGUACGGCAUCAGAUGCUCUUCCUCGAACGCAUCGAUGACUGUCUGGAUGGCGGCGCUGUUGGGCACGCUGGCGCUGACGCGGAUGCGCGCGCGGACCCAGAGCGCGACGCUGCCGCCAGGCUUCAGCACCUGCGCAGCCCGCGGCCAGAAGCGGCUCAUGUCGAACCAAUGCGCGGCCGCCGCGGCUGUCAGGAGGUCGACGCUGUUGUCCGCGAUGAGCGGAGGGGAGAGCUGGGAGCCGAGGUCUUCGGCGGUGGAGACUUGGAAAUUUAUGGGUUCGGGCACCGCGGAUGAUGAUGGUGAUGAUGUGCUGCCGCCGAGAGAACGGGCGGUGCUGAUCAUCCCUUCUGAUUGAUCGAGGCCGAUGGCAUGGGCAAAGUAUGGUGCCAGUGCACGCACUGCUGUUCCGGGACCACAGCCGACGUCAACGAUCGUGUCAAGCUGCCCGCCAGUGGAGGUGUGAUGGUCGAUGAUGAAUUGGAGGAACUCCGGUUCAUAUCCAAGGCGAUUCUGGGCAUAAGACAGGCCUUGUCCCUGUGUGUAGGCCCGGAAUGUACUCUCCGCCUGGAAUUCAGUGUUAUUGGACUCUGCGUUGGCCAUGGUAGCUAAGCAUCCACACGGGGCUUUUUACCCUAGUUGUGGGAAAGUAUUGCAAGAUGGUAUAAAUAUAGCUGUAGCGGUGUCUUCUGCCGUUCAGGGGACACGAAACUUGAUGUGAUGCCAAUAAUGGUCGCAAGUUGCAGGUUGGUUCUGAGCAAAUACGAAGUAUGUAUUUAUUUUGCCUAAUCGCUCAGCGGGCACAAGUCGUUAUACAGCCAAUGAUCCCUUUUACCCCUCAGCUAUGAUGAGAAUAGCUCUUACACUCUACGUAACGGAUUCCCCGCCCAACAUCCAAACUGACCACGAUGAGGAUGGAGUAUUUGUAAUGAUAUCUCCACAAUGCACUAGGCUUUGGGGAUUAAAUGAUAUAAAUAGUGUUAAAUCCAGGC
RNAcentral lists this small RNA (2718 nucleotides) under Histoplasma capsulatum. Its description in RNAcentral is "hypothetical RNA". Lineage: Eukaryota; Fungi; Ascomycota; Eurotiomycetes; Onygenales; Ajellomycetaceae. The record is from RNAcentral. RNAcentral also lists the same sequence under 1 other name.